ACGUAGGUGGCGAGCGUUGUCCGGAAUUAUUGGGCGUAAAGAGCAUGUAGGCGGUUUUUUAAGUCUGGAGUGAAAAUGCGGGCUCAACCCCGUAUGGCUUUGGAUACUGGGAGACUUGAGUGCAGGAGAGGAAAGGGGAAUUCCCAGUGUAGCGGUGAAAUGCGUAGAUAUUGGGAGGAACACCAGUGGCGAAGGCGCCUUUCUGGACUGUGUCUGACGCUGAGAUGCGAAAGCCAGGGUAGCGAACGGGAUUAGAUACCCCGGUAGUACUGGCCGUAAACGAUGGGUACUAGGUGUAGGAGGUAUCGACCCCUUCUGUGCCGGAGUUUACGCAAUAAGUACCCCGCCUGGGGAGUACGGCCGCAAGGCUG
RNAcentral lists this ribosomal RNA (371 nucleotides) under uncultured bacterium. RNAcentral describes it as "bacterial SSU rRNA". It matches the Rfam family "Bacterial small subunit ribosomal RNA", at positions 525 to 896 of the family's 1533-position model. The record is from RNAcentral.